GCGUGACGUAGUCAAGCUUGUGUGUCUGUCACAGAGCGAAAGAGGCUUGCGUCGUAUUAAAUUCUCCUCUGAAGUUUAUCUGGCUGAUCUUCUAUCUGGACCUGAGAGAUGAAGAAGGCACAAUCGCUCCUUUUCCAAGCGUUGACCGUGCUUGGCAUUUGGGCUUCGCUUGGUGAGUUCACGUUUUUAUUUGACUUCAAGGUUCACUGCAAACGUUGUUGGGACUGGAUUUGUUUCUUCAGAUCAUUAGGGGAUCAAUAUAAAAGGGCAUUUUAUUGGCCCCACCUCGGGGAAAUGUAUACUUGUCAGAUUACUAGACAUAUUAAGCAAACUGUCAGUCUCAUUUGAAACAAUGGAAACAAUACAUAAUACAUCCGCGGUUUUGAGACACUUUCUGAUCCGACUGUGAACUUUUGAAAAAAGGGUGUAGUAAAGCCUAUUUAAAACUAACGACUGACUUUAAGCAUUGAUAUACCACUCAUUUAACUCACUGACCGCCACUGACUGAAAACCUGAAACAUUCACUUCGGUUUGCCUUGGAAGGCUGCAAAUGGAUUGGACGUCUAGCACCGUCAUUGGCACAGAAACGUGAGAAUCCAUAGCCAGUCCUCCCAGUUAAGAAUAAGCGCACUUCUGUUGUUGUCAGUAGUAAGCUAAACGAACCAAAAUUAUACAUUAAUACAAAUGUAUAUAUAUAACUAUUUUAAAACUAUUAAAAUUAUUAUGAAUUAAAAAAAAAUAACACUAAAUAUUACUAUUAAAUUGUAUAAUAAUAAUUUUAAUUUAAUAAUAAUAAAUUUAAUAAAUUCAUAAUAAUUUAUUUUUUAAUUUAAUUUUAUAGUAUUAUAUAAUACUAUAUUAUUAGUAGUAGUAGUAUUACUAAAUAUAAUAACACUAAAUAUAUAAUACUAAGUAUUGACUAAUGGCAGUUAAAUACUCUUGUAGUUUAGUUUUGGUUAGUUUUAGUUUUAUACUAAAGGGUCAUAGUAUUUACCUAUGAUAUAAAUAAAUAUCUACUUUUUUUAAUUCCAUUAUAAUCUUAAUGAUUUUUUAAUCAAUAAAUUAUCAAUAAACCCAAUAGAUUUGUAUUAAUGUAUAAUUGUAUUUUUUCAUAUAUAAAUAAAAUUAACAUUAAAAAAUAAAAAAUAAAUACAUAUAUGUUACAGUUCUACAUGGACUGAGGUUUUCAAUGCAACGCUUCACAUUCCAGGUGUUUUGUUUCACAUUGCGAGAUGGAUAAUUUUGUAUGUGGUGCUUGUGUGUGUGUUUUGUCAUAAUGUAUCAAACGUAGGAAGAGAAUGUCCAAAAGACAUGUGCUUCAACACAACAGAAAACUUAGCUCCAAAACCAUUGUCUGUGAUCUCAAUUGAUCUGGAUCAUGAAUACAUAUAGGUUGAGGUGCUGGAGGGGGAGGGAUAAUUGAACUUUUAAUGACCGAAGGGAAAACAAACAACAACAAAAAACCUGCAGUUGAACACAAUCUUGAUGACUUUUACAAUUGUUGUUACAAUAUGAUUAACACCCCCCACCAACACAAACCUAUAUAAAGACAAACCGAACACUUUAAAAUGCAACUUUUUUUCACCUCGACCUAUAACCUUACUCACCUUGUCUUCACUGAUGCAAAAGCAUCUAUUGCACUUUCAUAUGACAGUUGUUUUGGAAGGGCACUUCUUUCCUGGACUUGGUGGGCUUGGACUUGGUGCUGAUGUGGAUAAGUUCGCUGUAAAAUGACACAUUUCAAAGACAACCCUAUGCUGAGAGCUACAAACUCUUUUGUGAACAAGUGAUCCGUCAAAGGAUUAUCGUUGACAAAGAAGUGCUCAGAAUGGACAAGCCAAGAAGGUUGUUCGUGAACAUCGUGAAGAACCAUGAGGAUCUUGAUGCUUCAGACUACAGGCGGGAUAUGCUGAAAAGAAGAUUGAAGUACUUUAUCAUCAACAGACAAACUUUUAGACAGGAUACCUCAGUCAUCAGGUACAUCAGCUACCGACUCUACUGAGGUAAGACAAGAAAGUGACACUGAACAAAUGGCUAGCACACCAUCUGGUUGGAAAUCCACAGAACAAAGAAGGACACUUUACAGUGCAGGGCUGCUAUUGAGGACCAUUCUAAGCGAAUCACCCUCACUGAAAUGCCCAUGGCCUCCCACAGCAGAAGAUUUAAAUGUAUGUGAAGCGAAAGCUGUUGUGCCUGUUGAACAGUACAAUCGAUUGGUGCAACAGAAGAACCAACACUAGCCGGCAAAAGGGCAAACUACGAGGCAGCAGUAAUGCGACAUUGUCUGACUGGUAUGAUGUGUGCCCCUUCACCAAUUGGCAAUGGAUGGGACAUUGAGGAUGGUGAAUUAACAGUAAAAUGGAUGACUAGAAAUCCUGCCCCAGAUAGUGUGCUACAGGUAAUCCACUGUGGUUGCAAGAUAAGCAAGUGUGAGACUGAAAGAUGUUCAUGCUUGUCUGCAAAAAUGUCCUGUACAGAUUUAUGCCACUGCCAGGACUGUGAAAAUAUUUCAAAGGAAAUGGGAUGAUGACACUGAUGAUACUGAUAUUGAUGAGUAAUCACCCACCAUCUCUCCUAUGUUUAGUUUCAUUAUCAAAAUGUUACUCUCCAUUUUAACACCUUUAAAACAACAACAAAAAAGGCUCUUUUCCCUUUUCCAAAAAAAUAGACCUUUGUUCAAUUUGACUGCCAAAAAAGAUGGAUGUUCCAAUGAAGUGCUAUUGUUUUAUUGAGAGUGCACAUUUCAUAUAUGUGUGUGUAUAUAUAUAUAUGUGUGUGUGUAUAUAUAUAUAUGUGUGUGUAUAUAUAUAUAUAUAUGUGUGUGUAUAUAUAUAUAUAUAUAUGUGUGUGUAUAUAUAUAUAUAUGUGUGUGUGUGUAUAUAUAUAUAUGUGUGUAUAUAUAUAUAUAUGUGUGUAUAUAUAUAUAUGUGUGUGUAUAUAUAUAUAUAUAUGUGUAUAUAUAUGUGUAUAUAUAUAUAUAUAUGUGUAUAUAUAUAUAUGUAUAUAUAUAUAUACACACUGAUACACGGCCCAUGGGAAAACCCAUGGACAGUGUAUCAAAUACUUGUUCUCCCCACUCUAUACAUAUAUAUUCCUAGAUUUUGACAAAAUUGGUGCAGGGAAACGUUGGGUGAACUUUUAACCCAAAGUUCAGAAGGGUAUUAUCUUAUCAAAAAAUGCAUUGAACAAGUAGUGCCCAGACAGUGGAACGAAACCCAUUUUCUAGGCACUUUUUCAGGGUCCACCCCAAGGCCUAAUUCUAUUUAACACAAGACUUAUUUUUCAUCCCAUACAAUUUAUUUAGCAAUUGGGGGAAAUUACUUAGAUACAUACUGUAAAAAUAUUGGAGUAGAGAGAUAAAAACAAUGAUGACAUUUUGCUGCUGUCUGUUGCAUUUUCCGCGUUCUGAAUCUUCCCCAUUGGGCUGAUUUCUAAAUCAGCUGAAAUCGUUACUCUGCCGACGUCAUCACCUAGAUGGAGGCACUAGAGUGCUACAAUGAUAGGCGGGGCUAAACGGCAGAUUAAAAGAAACAUUUCUCUUCAUCUGCGCUUUGCCAAAUUGUUGUAUAUAGUCGAAUGAUCUCAAAAUAUGAUUUUAAUUCACAUAAUAAUGCUAUUUAAUUUCAUCGUGUCACAGGCGCUUUAAAAGUCAGUGAUUGCAGGACUGGUUUACUUUCAAAAAGUGCUUGAGCCGAGUUUUGAGGGUUUGUAUUGCGGGACACUCCCUGAUGGCCCUACUAUGACCCUAGUCAUGGGGGCGGGGGCAAAUCAAAUACUUAAAUAGUAUUUUUUUGAAUUAAGAAACAAAGCACAUGAAAAAAAAAUACAUAGUAAUGAAGUAAUAAAAUAGAAAUAAUUCUACAUGAAAUGAAAUUCAUUCUAAAAAAAAAAUCAAAACUUCAAAAUAUAAAUGAAAAAUUAUUGAAAUAAAUCAAGAUUAAAAAAAAUAAUAAUAAUAAUAACAUUAAUUCAAAUAAGUGUCCCAUGUGUGAAUUUUGCUGUGGGAAAGUUAUUCAUUUAAUUUUGUUUUGUUUGAUGAAUCUUGUGACCUCUCAUAUCUUAACUCUAUGGCUGCCUCUUACGGUAUUCAAUCCAUUUCAACUGAUUGUUCGAUCGCUUCCAGCCCCUCCCAGUUAAAAUGGAUUGGACGUCUAUCAAUAUCUUUUACUUAUUACCACAACAAAAAUUGUGACCUGGGCUGGCGGUGGUGAGGUAAACUAAUGAUAACUUUUGGAUAGAUGUCCACUGAUGUGACCACUGUAACCGAAAGGGUUAAACAUCAUCCUCAAAAAUAAAAAGUGCAAAUUACCACACAAAUGUUCCUUUUUGUGCUAUACACAAGUGUGGAUGCAACCCCGUUGGUUACAUAACUCUGUCGGAAUGGCUGACGGUUACCCAUUUGAUUAUUUCACCUUAUAACGCAUACUGUAGCUUGAUCUGAGGCUGAAAUGCAUCCCAACUCUUCUUUCUUGAUUUCUGUCCCAAUUUACAUCCAUUGUCCAGUUCACUGGCGCCUGUGGCACAGCUGUGAUGGUGUGUGAUGUAAUCCUACUUGGUUUAGUUAUUGUUGGGUAAAGAGACAUACUAUACAUUGUAUCCAAAAAAUUGUCCAUUGCUGCCAGUUUGCUUGGAUUUAAUAAAUCAAUAUUAAAAUCUCCACAGAUGAAGAAUGUUUUCUGCUUAAUAGUGGAAAACAAUUGGCUCAUCCAUUCAGUGAAGGAAUCAAUACAUGAACCCGGUGAUCGAUAGAUUCAACUGACAAUUAUAUUUUUCUUUUUUUCAUUGGAGAUCUCUAUUGUCAAACAUUCCAAGUGUUCUUGACAUAUCUAUUCAAUUCAAUUUUAUUUGUAUAGCCCUAAAUCACAACAAGGUUGUCUCAAAGGGCUUUGCAGAGGCAAUAUGAUACAAAAUCAGAAACAGCAAAUGAAGCAAUGAAGAUGAAUACAUACAUUUCAAGUCCUGGGCAUCCCCCAUCCUUAGACCCUCCAUGUCGGCAAGGAAAAACUCCAAAAACUCCAGAGUCUUUGGGAGAAAAUGAGAAACCUUGGGAAGUACCACACUGAGGAGAGAUCCACUCCCGGGACAGAUAGGCAGGGAGCACCAGUACUGCUAAUGGGAAUUAGCAGGCGAAGUUACAGUCCGUAAAGAUACAUUGGAGUAAAGGAACAAGAAGAGGUCCAUCUAGCCAGAUGAGACGGGGGUAGCAACGAGGACAUCCAUCCAGCCAGGGGUCCGGACAGUCAGGAGGCUGCAGCUGAAAAAGGGGUGGGGGGAAAGGGGAGACCGGGUGACGAGUGAUGAAGAGACUAGACAGAUAUUACCAUAUUACUAGAUAUUACCAUUGGAAAAUAGAAAUUAAGUAAGACAAGUGGUACUGUAGGUAGAGUGAGAAAAAGGAGAUAGAACUCAGUGGCUGUACUUCCCCCAGCAUUAUAGCUUCUAGUGCAGCUGUAUCUGUUAAUACCAUACAUUUAAUUGAUUUAUGAAUAUAUAGGGCAACUCCACCACCAGUUUUCUUUUCUCUAUGUAUUUUAAUUCGUAAUCAUCCAUAAGAAAAUCAAUACCUUUAUCAAUAUUAAACCACGUUUCUGUGAUCGCAAUUAUGCUGAAGGGGUGUGUAAAUUGGUGCAGAUAGUCUUUGGUAGAGCUGACAUUUUUGUACAUGCUUCUGCUGUUGAAAUGUAUAAUUGACAGUUUUGCCCAUUGAGUUGAUAUGAUUUUCAUACAGAUCUUGUGUAAAAAUAAUCGCAAUUGGUAACAGUAGAAGAAAAGAAAUGAUUGUCAGGAUCACUUUCUAUAUUAGGGACUCUUUUGUUGGACUCGUUGGAUUUAAAGGCCUCAAGUUCUAUUUGUUUGUUCUGAAGGGUUCGCAGAAGUGGAUCAAUGUCGCUCUUAUUCCUGAGUACAGUUCGUGUGUUUGAUGUAUCG
Molecule: long non-coding RNA, 5928 nt
Organism: Corythoichthys intestinalis (scribbled pipefish)
Lineage: Eukaryota; Metazoa; Chordata; Actinopteri; Syngnathiformes; Syngnathidae
Exons: 5
Source: RefSeq, a predicted model, not a curated record